Mercenaria mercenaria is the source of this 2898-nucleotide long non-coding RNA. RefSeq lists it as uncharacterized. The transcript has 6 exons. Lineage: Eukaryota; Metazoa; Mollusca; Bivalvia; Venerida; Veneridae. The record is from RefSeq and is a predicted model, not a curated record.
AAAUGCUUCAGCUGUUACCAAUCCGAAGAUAUGCAGAUUAUAUUUUGAAAGAAAAAAAAAGACCCAGUCAAUUCAUCCCCUAAAGGGCGAACUUCAAGAACCACGUGGAUUCUGCAUCAAGAACCGACUGGAGGAAAAAAUAAAAACGAUCCGAAACACAGCAGUAAGUUACAAGACGAAGAAAAGCAUGGAAGUAUCAGGUUGUUGUUGUUGUUUUCUACUGUGCAAUUUGGAAGUCAAUGCUGGCACUUAGAUGGUGUAAUUAUGGAAGUAAAGUCAGUUAAAAAACAAAUCAUAAAGUACACACGAUUUCACAUAUUUCAGGGAUGAUAAACAACAAUCAAUAUUCAUCAAAAGUGAUAGUUUCUCGAAAAGUGGUUUGCUUUUGAAAGAAAGUGUUAGAUGUGUUAGACUGGAUUUAACUUCGACACUGUUUGGAAUAUGCGUAGAUAUAGUGAAGGAGUAUAAUUAAAGGUGAUAUUAAAUCUGGCACGCACAUAGAUAUGAUAAGGAUAUAUAGUUAUUGGUGAUGUUCAGAUUGGAUGUAAUUUUCAAGACAAUUUGAAAUUUUCAUAAAGAGAUGGAAUAUUAUUACUUGUGUGUUCGUUUCAUUCUAAUUAAUAUUUACUCAAACAGGACUAUCUGGAAUAUGAUUAUAUAAAGGGAAGAAAUAUAAUUAGUGAUUGUGUCACAAUGGAAGUACAGCCAAUGACAAGUCGUUUCAAACAUUGCGGAAGAAAGAUGCAAACAGUGCAAACAGUUGAAAACAACAAUCAAUAUGCACGACAUCUUUCUCAAGUGGUUAUUAGAAAAUAUAAGUACAUUCUGUUUCACCUGGCAAUUAUCUGCUAUUGAUCAGAACUGAAAAUAUCGCAAAGUGGUUGUGGUUUGGGAAUGAAUAUUAUACGCUUAGACUAUAUACUCAAACAGGAUCUUUUUUUUAAAAAACAAUUAGGAAUAUACACCAAAAUAAUGAGUAUAAUCAUUUGUGAGGAGGUUUUAUUAUAAUAAUUAAUACGCAUUCAAAUUUGAUUUAUAAUUUUUCAACGGAGUUUGAAAUAUACACGGAUCUAGUGAAGGAGUACAGUUAUUUGAUUUGAAAUAAUUGAUACUAGAAUGGAGCCUCUGAAAGCCUUUGAAGUUAUUGAUGCGUUUGUAUAAUUCAAAGGUGGAGAAAUAACAAUCAAUAUGCACGACAUCUUUCUCAAAUGGCUAUUAGAAAAGUUUACAUCAAUCUGUUUCACCUGGCAAUCAUUUGUCAUUGAUCAGAAUGGAAAAUAUCGCGAUGUUAUGGUAUGAAAUAUUACGUGCCUAUACUAUGUACUCAAACAGGAUGGAUUAAAUUUUCAAUGCAAUUAGGAUUACACAUAUAGAGAAUGUGCAUAAUUAUUUGUGAGAAGGUUUAUUAAUAAUAAUAAUAUGUAUUCAAAUUGGAUUAAAAUUUUUCAACGGAGUUUGAAUUAGAUCUAGUGACAUAUUAAUUAUUUGUGGGUUUGAUUAUAAUUAUUUUUGUGAAUUCAAACUAGAUCUUACUGGAAUAUACGUAGACAAAGUGAAGGAAUAUAGCUAUUUGUGAUAGUCAGCUCGGAUUAAUUCUGAACAAAAUUUGCAAUAUGCAAGAAUAAUUUUCAAUACAAUUUGGAAUAUACACAGACAUAAUGAAGAGAUGUAAUUAUUGGUGAUAUUCUGACCGGAUUUAAUUUUUAAUACAAUUCGGAAUAUUCAUACAUAUAGUGAAUGUAUAUUGUAAUUGAUGAUGUCAAUGUUUAAUACAGGUUGAAUUGUUAAUAGCUAUAGUAAAGGAAUAUCAUUAUCGGUGAGUAAGUUCUAUUCUAUUUAUUGAUAUAAUGUUAUAUUUAAAUCUGAUAUAAUUCUCAGAACUUUAGGAAUAAACAUUUAAAAUAAUUAAUGACCGUUAGGUUUAAUCAUUAUAUAAAGUAUACCACAAAUACACCAUUAUCUAUGUAGGUAAUAGACUUAAAGAGGGAAAAGCUUCGCUGAAAAUAAAUACAUUUGGAAGACUAAGAGGAUCAUCUUGGACUGACCGUAGUAGGAAAAAUUUAGGAUAUUUAAAUCGGAACGCAAAAAUAAUGAUAAUUUGAUUUUUGAAUUGACUAAUAACAUUUAUUAAACAGAAAGGAAAGGAAUAAAAAAUGUAACGGAAAAAUACUAAUAAAAAUUGUGUUAAACGACCAUAUUAUCUGCUAAUAUUUUAAGGCCUUUUAUUCUUAAGUAAAAAACGUACGAAUAAUUUUAUCAUUUAACUUGUUUCACUUUUAUGUGUAUGUACAUAUAGAACAUUGCUGCGGUUUAUUUUUGUUUCGCAAAUAAUAGAUAAAUAAUGUUCCAUAAUCAGAAAUAGUUUUUUUCAUAUAUCAAGAUUUGUUAUUUUGUCGUAAUUAAAUGUUUUUGUUUUCAUCUGACUGUAUAUCAUGGGUGCCGAUUUUUCUUUAGGGUUUAGUCUAUAAGUCUCCAAGUGACAUUUGAAACGAGAAGCAUCGCUUUUAUUGAGGACUGUUAAAAAUCUUUGUAUGAGUACAGAAUACGUCUCUUCUCAAACAAACAGAUUUAGCACAUUCAGAAAUAAUAAACAACCAUGAAGAAAUGAUCAAUUAUAUGUUGCUUUUUUUCUUAAAUUUUUAUUCAAAAGCAUAGCCAAUACAUUAUUAUAUGUUAUUAUGUAUGAAAAGACCUACAAUAAUUUAGGUGGUUGAUACAUAUCACGUACCGUUAACAAAAUGCAAUUGCCAGAAGAAUUAAACCAAUCUAAAUUUAUAUUUCAGAAUAUGCUAAUGAUAAUAGAAAAGACAUAAACUGCAAAUACAUGCAGUCAUCGUUCUUUAAAAAUACGAUUAAACUACUUCGAUCAACACUUCAGAAAUCCGUUCCGGAAUAUUU